Molecule: ribosomal RNA, 164 nt
Filed under: Dermatophyllum arizonicum
Lineage: Eukaryota; Viridiplantae; Streptophyta; Magnoliopsida; Fabales; Fabaceae
Description: 5.8S ribosomal RNA
Rfam family: 5.8S ribosomal RNA
About the family: 5.8S ribosomal RNA (5.8S rRNA) is a component of the large subunit of the eukaryotic ribosome. It is transcribed by RNA polymerase I as part of the 45S precursor that also contains 18S and 28S rRNA. Functionally, it is thought that 5.8S rRNA may be involved in ribosome translocation.
Source: RNAcentral
CAAAAUGACUCUCGGCAACGGAUAUCUCGGCUCUUGCAUCGAUGAAGAACGUAGCGAAAUGCGAUACUUGGUGUGAAUUGCAGAAUCCCGUGAACCAUCGAGUCUUUGAACGCAAGUUGCGCCCGAAGCCAUUAGGCCGAGGGCACGCCUGCCUGGGUGUCGCA